This 253-nucleotide ribosomal RNA is filed under the name uncultured bacterium. Its description in RNAcentral is "partial 16S ribosomal RNA". It matches the Rfam family "Bacterial small subunit ribosomal RNA", at positions 524 to 776 of the family's 1533-position model. The record is from RNAcentral.
GACGUAGGAUGCAAGCGUUGUCCGGAUUUAUUGGGCGUAAAGAGUUCGUAGGUGGUUUGCUAAGUCUGAUGCUAAAUACUGGAGCUCAACUUCGGGACUGCAUUGGAUACUGGCAGACUUGAGUGUGGUAGAGGCAAUCAGAAUUCCAGGUGUAGCGGUGAAAUGCGUAGAUAUCUGGAAGAACACCGGUGGCGCAAGCGGAUUGCUGGGCCAUAACUGACACUGAGGAACGAAAGCUAGGGUAGCGAAUGGG